AAUACAGUGACCACAGAGCAUUAGCACCCAAGCAGGACCUGCUGAACCUGGGGCCCUAUAGGAGAGCACUGAUGGCCCACCCCUGAUUGUGGCCCUGGUCUUCAUGUCUGCAUCAGCCUCAGCCAUCUCAAGACCACAACAGGAACAUAGCCAAGUCAGAGAAGGAAGACCAAAAGCACCAGGGCCCUUCAUAUUAUUAAGCUGCUAAAUUAACUAAUCUUGGAAACUUCUAGACUCUACAAUUCUUGUUGUAUGAGAGUGGAUUGACAAUUAUUCUCUGGACUUUUUGGUAACCAAGAACUUCUAGCAACUAACCCUGGCAUGACCACCAGAAUCUGCAGGGCUGAGAGAAGAAAGAAAGGCAAAAGUGGAUGAAUGCAGCUGAAGAUGCUGUGGAACUCCUAUCACAUUCCAAGUGCUGUGUUGAUAUCUGGAGAUAUAGACAAGAUCGAAGCAGAUGCAGUCUUUCACAUGAAUAUUUGAAUCAGGCAGUAUGUUCCCCAAAUUAGCAAAGUAUCUCCCAGAUUUUUUCUUUGAUGAUAUAUUUGAAAUCCUAAUGCUG
Molecule: long non-coding RNA, 562 nt
Filed under: Homo sapiens (human)
Lineage: Eukaryota; Metazoa; Chordata; Mammalia; Primates; Hominidae
Description: non-protein coding lnc-TNFAIP6-2:10
Source: RNAcentral